CUCAGUUCGGAUUGGAGUCUGNAACCCGACUCCAUGAAGCUGGAUUCGCUAGUAAUCGCGCAUCAGCCACGGCGCGGUGAAUACGUUCCCGGGCCUUGUACACACCGCCCGUCAAGCCAUGGGAGCCGGGAGUGCCUGAAGUACGUGACCGCAAGGAGCGUCCUAGGGUAAGACCGGUGACUGGGGCUAAGUCGUAACAAGGUAAC
This 206-nucleotide ribosomal RNA is filed under the name uncultured bacterium. RNAcentral's name for it is "partial 16S ribosomal RNA". It matches the Rfam family "Bacterial small subunit ribosomal RNA", at positions 1287 to 1500 of the family's 1533-position model. The record is from RNAcentral.